This 463-nucleotide ribosomal RNA is filed under the name uncultured bacterium. Its description in RNAcentral is "bacterial SSU rRNA". It matches the Rfam family "Bacterial small subunit ribosomal RNA", at positions 1 to 507 of the family's 1533-position model. The record is from RNAcentral.
CGUACGAUACGAGUUUGAUCAUGGCUCGGAACGAACGCUGGCGGCAGGCCUAACACAUGCAAGUCGAGCGAACCCUUCGGGGUUAGCGGCGGACGGGUGAGUAACGCGUGGGAACGUGCCCUUUGCUACGGAAUAGCCCCGGGAAACUGGGAGUAAUACCGUAUGUGCCCUUCGGGGGAAAGAUUUAUCGGCAAAGGAUCGGCCCGCGUUGGAUUAGGUAGUUGGUGGGGUAAUGGCCUACCAAGCCGACGAUCCAUAGCUGGUUUGAGAGGAUGAUCAGCCACACUGGGACUGAGACACGGCCCAGACUCCUACGGGAGGCAGCAGUGGGGAAUCUUAGACAAUGGGCGCAAGCCUGAUCUAGCCAUGCCGCGUGAUCGAUGAAGGCCUUAGGGUUGUAAAGAUCUUUUCAGUGGGGAAGAUAAUGACUGUACCCACAGAAGAAGCCCCGGCUAACUCCGUG